UACAAUUAAAUGUAAGAUGCAUAAAGAAUUUUGAUUUCUUAAGAUUUGGUUUAAUUCCAAAAAUUGUAG
RNAcentral lists this transfer RNA (69 nucleotides) under Symplanella nigricans. RNAcentral's name for it is "tRNA-Gln". Lineage: Eukaryota; Metazoa; Arthropoda; Insecta; Hemiptera; Caliscelidae. The record is from RNAcentral.